AACGAACGCUGGCGGCAGGCUUAACACAUGCAAGUCGAGCGCCCCGCAAGGGGAGCGGCAGACGGGUGAGUAACGCGUGGGAAUCUACCCAGCUCUACGGAAUAACGCAGGGAAACUUGUGCUAAUACCGUAUACGUCCUCCGGGAGAAAGAUUUAUCGGAGCUGGAUGAGCCCGCGUUGGAUUAGCUAGUUGGUGGGGUAAUGGCCCACGAAGGCGACGAUCCAUAGCUGGUCUGAGAGGAUGAUCAGCCACAUUGGGACUGGAGACACGGCCCAAACUCCUACGGGAGGCAGCAGUGGGGAAUAUUGGACAAUGGGCGAAAGCCUGAUCCAGCCAUGCCGCGUGAGUGAUGAAGGCCCUAGGGUUGUAAAGCUCUUUCACCGGUGAAGAUAAUGACGGUAACCGGAGAAGAAGCCCCGGCUAACUUCGUGCCAGCAGCCGCGGUAA
This 448-nucleotide ribosomal RNA is filed under the name uncultured bacterium. RNAcentral describes it as "partial 16S ribosomal RNA". It matches the Rfam family "Bacterial small subunit ribosomal RNA", at positions 29 to 523 of the family's 1533-position model. The record is from RNAcentral.